Molecule: ribosomal RNA, 256 nt
Filed under: uncultured bacterium
Lineage: Bacteria
Description: partial 16S ribosomal RNA
Rfam family: Bacterial small subunit ribosomal RNA
Source: RNAcentral
UACGGGGGGGAGCAAGCGUUGUUCGGAUUUACUGGGCGUAAAGGGCGCGUAGGCGGUCGUGACAAGUCACUUGUGAAAUCUCCGGGCUUAACUCGGAACGGUCAAGUGAUACUGUCGUGCUAGAGUACAGAAGGGGGCAACUGGAAUUCUCGGUGUAGCGGUGAAAUGCGUAGAUAUCGAGAGGAACACCUGCGGCGAAGGCGGGUUGCUGGGCUGACACUGACGCUGAAGUGCGAAAGCUAGGGGAGCGAACGGG